GACGAACGCUGGCGGCGUGCUUAACACAUGCAAGUCGAACGGAAAGACCCUGCUUUUGUGGGGUGCUCGAGUGGCGAACGGGUGAGUAACACGUGAGUAACCUGCCCUUGACUUUGGGAUAACUUCAGGAAACUGGGGCUAAUACCGGAUAGGAGCUCCUGCUGCAUGGUGGGGGUUGGAAAGUUUCGGCGGUUGGGGAUGGACUCGCGGCUUAUCAGCUUGUUGGUGGGGUAGUGGCUUACCAAGACUUUGACGGGUAGCCGGCCUGAGAGGGUGACCGGCCACAUUGGGACUGAGAUACGGCCCAGACUCCUACGGGAGGCAGCAGUGGGGAAUAUUGCACAAUGGGCGGAAGCCUGAUGCAGCAACGCCGCGUGCGGGAUGACGGCCUUCGGGUUGUAAACCGCUUUCGCCUGUGACGAAGCGUGAGUGACGGUAAUGGGUAAAGAAGCACCGGCUAACUACGUG
Molecule: ribosomal RNA, 468 nt
Filed under: uncultured bacterium
Lineage: Bacteria
Description: partial 16S ribosomal RNA
Rfam family: Bacterial small subunit ribosomal RNA
Source: RNAcentral